This 67-nucleotide transfer RNA is filed under the name Schedorhinotermes sp. 10 MW-2019. RNAcentral describes it as "tRNA-His". RNAcentral also lists the same sequence under 1 other name. The record is from RNAcentral. Lineage: Eukaryota; Metazoa; Arthropoda; Insecta; Blattodea; Rhinotermitidae.
AUCUAGAUAGUUUAAUUAAAAUGUUGAUUUGUGGUGUCAGCGAUGAGGCUAGUUGCCCCUUUGGAUU